GUGUUCACUUUGGCAGCACAUAGACUAAAAUUGGAAUGAUACAUUGAAGAUUAGCAUGGCCAUUGCAUAAGAAUAACAUGCAAAUCUGUGAAGCAUUCCAUAUUUUA
Small nuclear RNA from Pteronotus mesoamericanus, 107 nucleotides. Lineage: Eukaryota; Metazoa; Chordata; Mammalia; Chiroptera; Mormoopidae. The record is from RefSeq and is a predicted model, not a curated record.